This 742-nucleotide ribosomal RNA is filed under the name uncultured bacterium. Its description in RNAcentral is "bacterial SSU rRNA". It matches the Rfam family "Bacterial small subunit ribosomal RNA", at positions 72 to 841 of the family's 1533-position model. The record is from RNAcentral.
UCUUCCUCGGAAGAGAGCGGCGGACGGGUGAGUAACGCGUGGGUAACCUGCCUCAUACACAUGGAUAACAUACCGAAAGGUAUGCUAAUACAAGAUGAUAUAAGAGAUUCGCAUGGAUUUCUUAUCAAAGCUCCGGCGGUAUGAGAUGGACCCGCGUCUGAUUAGCUAGUUGGUAAGGUAACGGCUUACCAAGGCGACGAUCAGUAGCCGACCUGAGAGGGUGGUCGGCCACAUUGGAACUGAGACACGGUCCAAACUCCUACGGGAGGCAGCAGUGGGGAAUAUUGCACAAUGGGCGAAAGCCUGAUGCAGCAACGCCGCGUGAGCGAUGAAGGCCUUCGGGUCGUAAAGCUCUGUCCACAAGGAAGAUAAUGACGGUACUUGAGGAGGAAGCCCCGGCUAACUACGUGCCAGCAGCCGCGGUAAUACGUAGGGGGCUAGCGUUAUCCGGAUUUACUGGGCGUAAAGGGUGCGUAGGUGGUUUCUUAAGUCAGGAGUGAAAGGCUACGGCUCAAUCGUAGUAAGCUCUUGAAACUGGGAAACUUGAGUGCAGGAGAGGAAAGUGGAAUUCCUAGUGUAGCGGUGAAAUGCGUAGAUAUUAGGAGGAACACCAGUAGCGAAGGCGGUUUUCUGGACUGUAACUGACACUGAGGCACGAAAGCGUGGGGAGCAAACAGGAUUAGAUACCCUGGUAGUCCACGCCGUAAACGAUGAGUACUAGGUGUCGGGGGUUACCCCCCUC